RNAcentral lists this ribosomal RNA (1017 nucleotides) under wastewater metagenome. Its description in RNAcentral is "bacterial LSU rRNA". It matches the Rfam family "Bacterial large subunit ribosomal RNA", at positions 1909 to 2925 of the family's 2925-position model. The record is from RNAcentral.
GAACUGAAGCCCCGGUGAACGGCGGCCGUAACUAUAACGGUCCUAAGGUAGCGAAAUUCCUUGUCGGGUAAGUUCCGACCCGCACGAAUGGCGUAACAACUGGAGCACUGUCUCAACAAGGGACCCGGCGAAAUUGAAGUAUCCGUGAAGAUGCGGAUUACCCGCAGCAGGACAAAAAGACCCCGUGGAGCUUUACUAUAGCUUGGCAUUGCGUUUGGGCUUGGUCUGUCCAGGAUAGGUGGGAGACUUUGAAACUGGGGCGCUAGCCUCGGUGGAGUCGCCCUUGGGAUACCACCCUGACCAAGUCUAGACCCUAACUUCAGACCGUAAUCCGGCUGGAAGACAGUGCCAGGUGGGUAGUUUGACUGGGGCGGUCGCCUCCUAAAGAGUAACGGAGGCGCCCAAAGGUUCCCUCAGGCUGAAUGGAAACCAGCCAAAGAGUGUAAAGGCAUAAGGGAGCUUGACUGCAAGACCAACAAGUCGCGCAGAGACGAAAGUCGGGCUUAGUGAUCCCACGGUACCGAGUGGAAGGGCCGUGGCUCAUCGGAUAAAAGCUACCCCGGGGAUAACAGGCUGGUCUUGCCCAAGAGUCCAUAUCGACGGCAAGGCUCGGCACCUCGAUGUCGGCUCGUCACAUCCUGGGGCUGUACAAGGUCCCAAGGGUUGGGCUGUUCGCCCAUUAAAGUGGUACGUGAGCUGGGUUCAAACCGUCGUGAGACAGGUUGGUCUCUAUCCGCUGUGGGCGAAGGGGAUUUGAGGGGAGCUGCUCCUAGUACGAGAGGACCGGAGUGGACAGACCUCUGGUGUGUCAGUUGUCGUGCCAACGGCAUAGCUGAGUAGCCACGUCUGGCAAGGAUAACCGCUGAAAGCAUCUAAGUGGGAAACCUGCCCCAAGAUGAGAUCCCCCAAGCUAUAUGCUUGUAAGACCGCAGAAAGACUAUCUGCUUGAUAGGCGUCAGGUGUACACGCAGCAAUGCGCUUAGCUUAGACGUACUAAUGGUCGAGAGGCUUCACAUA